GAGUUUGAUCCUGGCUCAGGAUGAACGCUGGCGGCGUGCCUAAUACAUGCAAGUCGAGCGAACGGACGAGAAGCUUGCUUCUCUGAUGUUAGCGGCGGACGGGUGAGUAACACGUGGAUAACCUACCUAUAAGACUGGGAUAACUUCGGGAAACCGGAGCUAAUACCGGAUAAUAUUUUGAACCGCAUGGUUCAAAAGUGAAAGACGGUCUUGCUGUCACUUAUAGAUGGAUCCGCGCUGCAUUAGCUAGUUGGUAAGGUAACGGCUUACCAAGGCAACGAUGCAUAGCCGACCUGAGAGGGUGAUCGGCCACACUGGAACUGAGACACGGUCCAGACUCCUACGGGAGGCAGCAGUAGGGAAUCUUCCGCAAUGGGCGAAAGGCCUGACGGAGCAACGCCGCGUGAGUGAUGAAGGUCUUCGGAUCGUAAAACUCUGUUAUUAGGGAAGAACAUAUGUGUAAGUAACUGUGCACAUCUUGACGGUACCUAA
RNAcentral lists this ribosomal RNA (492 nucleotides) under uncultured microorganism. Its description in RNAcentral is "bacterial SSU rRNA". It matches the Rfam family "Bacterial small subunit ribosomal RNA", at positions 9 to 482 of the family's 1533-position model. The record is from RNAcentral.